AUCACGGGUGACGCGGUGAACGUA
This 24-nucleotide non-coding RNA is filed under the name Arabidopsis thaliana (thale cress). Lineage: Eukaryota; Viridiplantae; Streptophyta; Magnoliopsida; Brassicales; Brassicaceae. The record is from RNAcentral.